Molecule: ribosomal RNA, 214 nt
Filed under: uncultured prokaryote
Description: partial 16S ribosomal RNA
Rfam family: Bacterial small subunit ribosomal RNA
Source: RNAcentral
ACGUAGGGGACAAGCGUUAUCCGGAUUUACUGGGCGUAAAGCGCCCGUAGGCGGCUUUUUAAGUUGGACGUGAAAGCUCCCGGCUUAACUGGGAGAGGCCGUUCAAACCUGAGAGGCUAGAGUGAGGCAGAGGAGCGCGGAAUUCCUGGUGUAGCGGUGAAAUGCGUUGAUAUCAGGAGGAACACCCAUGGCGAAGGCAGCAAACUGGGCAUUA